Molecule: ribosomal RNA, 253 nt
Filed under: uncultured bacterium
Lineage: Bacteria
Description: partial 16S ribosomal RNA
Rfam family: Bacterial small subunit ribosomal RNA
Source: RNAcentral
UACGAACUGUGCGAACGUUAUUCGGAAUCACUGGGCUUACAGGGUGCGUAGGCGGCUUAGCAAGUCAGGUGUGAAAGCCCCCGGCUCAACCGGGGAACUGCGCUUGAAACUGCUGAGCUCGAGUCAGCUAGAGGUACACGGAACUUCCAGUGGAGCGGCGAAAUGUGUUGAUAUUGGAAGGAACACCGGAGGCGAAAGCGGUGUACUGGGGCUGGUCUGACGCUGAGGCACGAAAGCCAGGGGAGCGAACGGG